UUCCCCUUCGGGGGGACAGGGUGACAGGUGGUGCAUGGUUGUCGUCAGCUCGUGUCGUGAGAUGUUGGGUUAAGUCCCGCAACGAGCGCAACCCUCGACCUUAGUUGCCAGCAUUCAGUUGGGCACUCUAAGGUGACUGCCGGCUAAAAGUCGGAGGAAGGUGGGGAUGACGUCAAAUCAUCAUGCCCCUUAUGACCUGAGCUACACACGUGCUACAAUGGGCGGUACAAAGGGUCGCGAACCCGCGAGGGGGAGCCAAUCCCAAAAAGCCGCUCUCAGUUCGGAUUGCAGGCUGCAACUCGCCUGCAUGAAGCCGGAAUCGCUAGUAAUCGCGGAUCAGCACGCCGCGGUGAAUACGUUCCCGGGCCUU
Molecule: ribosomal RNA, 370 nt
Filed under: uncultured Anoxybacillus sp.
Lineage: Bacteria; Bacillati; Bacillota; Bacilli; Caryophanales; Anoxybacillaceae
Description: bacterial SSU rRNA
Rfam family: Bacterial small subunit ribosomal RNA
Source: RNAcentral